This 454-nucleotide ribosomal RNA is filed under the name Burkholderia sp. 5i. RNAcentral describes it as "SSU rRNA". It matches the Rfam family "Bacterial small subunit ribosomal RNA", at positions 12 to 479 of the family's 1533-position model. Lineage: Bacteria; Pseudomonadati; Pseudomonadota; Betaproteobacteria; Burkholderiales; Burkholderiaceae. The record is from RNAcentral.
UUUGAUCAUGGCUCAGAUUGAACGCUGGCGGCAUGCCUUACAACAUGCAAGUCGAACGGCAGCACGGGGGCAACCCUGGUGGCGAGUGGCGAACGGGUGAGUAAUACAUCGGAACGUGUCCUGUAGUGGGGGAUAGCCCGGCGAAAGCCGGAUUAAUACCGCAUACGCUCUACGGAGGAAAGGGGGGGAUCUUAGGACCUCUCGCUACAGGGGCGGCCGAUGGCAGAUUAGCUAGUUGGUGGGGUAAAGGCCUACCAAGGCGACGAUCUGUAGCUGGUCUGAGAGGACGACCAGCCACACUGGGACUGAGACACGGCCCAGACUCCUACGGGAGGCAGCAGUGGGGAAUUUUGGACAAUGGGCGCAAGCCUGAUCCAGCAAUGCCGCGUGUGUGAAGAAGGCCUUCGGGUUGUAAAGCACUUUUGUCCGGAAAGAAAACUUCCUGGUUAAUACC